GCAUGCUUACAACAUAACCUUAAUGCAUAAAAUUCCAUUAGAACUUGGCAAUUAAGCACGCUCGGACUAGAGUAGUAUUGGGAUGGGUGACCGCCCAGGAAGUGCUAGUGUUUUACAUGCC
Picea glauca (white spruce) is the source of this 121-nucleotide non-coding RNA. The record is from Rfam. NCBI's taxonomy places the organism in Eukaryota, Viridiplantae, Streptophyta, Pinopsida, Pinales, Pinaceae.